Molecule: Y RNA, 107 nt
Filed under: Propithecus coquereli (Coquerel's sifaka)
Lineage: Eukaryota; Metazoa; Chordata; Mammalia; Primates; Indriidae
Description: Y RNA (ENSPCOG00000001330.1)
Rfam family: Y RNA
About the family: Y RNAs are components of the Ro ribonucleoprotein particle (Ro RNP), in association with Ro60 and La proteins. The Y RNAs and Ro60 and La proteins are well conserved, but the function of the Ro RNP is not known. In humans the RNA component can be one of four small RNAs -- hY1, hY3, hY4 and hY5.
Source: Rfam by way of RNAcentral
GGCUUGGUCCAAGUACAGUGGUGUUUAUAACUAAUUUAUCACAACCAGUUACAGUUUCUUUGUUCCUUCUUCACUCCCACUCCUUCUUUAGGCUUGACUAGCCUAAA